ACCCACCGCAGUUUACUUCCUGUGUUGACUAGCGGAGCUCCGCCAUUGUUACUAUAAAAGAGCAAGCUAUCGGAGAACAAGAGAGUGAGCCUGCAGCCUGAUGUCUUAUGUCUAAUGUCUGGGCAAAGUCUUCAGAUGCAAACUUCCAGCUCCGCUCAGGUGACCUGAGGAAGCUCAGGUGUCCCUGGACCCAUCAGAGGACAGAGACAGCUGCAGCAUCAGGACAGUCUGGGUAUCCAAAGGAAGACUGAUAAAGAUGAACACUGACUGCAGAGCUCCAUUACCAGCUCACACUUCAGUAUACUAGAAACCUAAGAUACCUUGAUGGAGGACAUGAUCUGCACAGUUUACAUAAAAGUUAUAGCUUUGUUACUUACAACAUGUGUAACUGGAAUAUGAAUGAAACAUAAAUAAAGUGUUUUACUUUUUAGAA
This is a long non-coding RNA of Dicentrarchus labrax (European seabass), 433 nucleotides long. RefSeq lists it as uncharacterized. The transcript is spliced from 2 exons. The record is from RefSeq and is a predicted model, not a curated record. Lineage: Eukaryota; Metazoa; Chordata; Actinopteri; Moronidae.